AGUGAACGCUGGCGGUAGGCCUAACACAUGCAAGUCGAACGGCAGCACAGGAGAGCUUGCUCUCUGGGUGGCGAGUGGCGGACGGGUGAGGAAUACACCGGAAUCUACUUUUUCGGGGGGGAUAACGUAGGGAAACUUACGCUAAUACCACAUACGACCUACGGGUGAACGCAGGGGGCCUUCGGGCCUUGCGCGAUUGAAUGAGCCGAUGUCGGAUUAGCUAGUUGGCGGGGUAAAGGCCCACCAAGGCGACGAUCCGUAGCUGGUCUGAGAGGAUGAUCAGCCACACUGGAACUGAGACACGGUCCAGACUCCUACGGGAGGCAGCAGUGGGGAAUAUUGGACAAUGGGCGCAAGCCUGAUCCAGCCAUACCGCGUGGGCGAAGAAGGCCUUCGGGUUGUAAAGCCCUUUUGUUGGGAAAGAAAUCCAGCUGGUUAAUACCCGGUUGGGAUGACGGUACCCAAAGAAUAAGCACCGGCUAACUUCGUGCCAGCCGCCGCAGUAA
RNAcentral lists this ribosomal RNA (506 nucleotides) under uncultured bacterium. RNAcentral's name for it is "partial 16S ribosomal RNA". It matches the Rfam family "Bacterial small subunit ribosomal RNA", at positions 29 to 523 of the family's 1533-position model. The record is from RNAcentral.